GUUCAGCAAGUGUUACCAUGGUAACCAGACAAAAUGAGUGGGUUCAACCAUUACUGGCUCUCAUAUUGCACU
Molecule: small RNA, 72 nt
Filed under: Spisula solidissima (Atlantic surf clam)
Lineage: Eukaryota; Metazoa; Mollusca; Bivalvia; Venerida; Mactridae
Source: RNAcentral